UUUACAGACUAAAAGACUUGAUAUUUGAUCUAAAAAUGUUUAACUCUUCUGACACGGUCUUUUCAUUGGAUAAUUUAUUUUAUGAAAAACCAGAUGCAAAAAAAAGAGAGAGAGAUCUAGAAAAAGAAGAGUCAAACCUUUGGUAUAUUGCACCUGCUCCAGUUAUUGGUGAAAUUCCAGCAGCAGAAGAGUUACAGAGGGAACUGAAAAAAAAUGAGUUGCAGAGGAAGCUGGAAAAAAACACAGCCAGCAAUCAUAUGGGAGGGAUAAAGCACCAGAAGUUUAUACAACAAUGCAAGAGUAACACUGAGGAUGUAAAUGAUAAAUCUCCAGCAUCUGUUCAUUUUGGCAUAGUCUCUGAAAAAGAAAUGCUCCAACUAAGUGUAGGAGAAAGAGAGAAAAUAAAUUUUCAGCAUGAAAGUCUAGAAAUGGUUUCAUUGUUUCUCUCUCCUGACCAAGAUAAGUAUAAAAGAGGAACGGGGAUUUGUCAGCAACCUGAUGCAAAUUUUUCACAGAGUAAAAUCUUAAUUAAUAUUCCAGAAAAUGGUGAUGAUGAGAGUGCCCAUUCCACAUUAAGAAAAAGGUAUGCAUCUAGUCAAUUCUGAUAAAUCAUCAACUGUCGGAAUUGUAUUAUUGUUUUAGGUGUAUUUGUCAAAUGCAGAGGUUUUGAUCCUUCAGUACUUUAACAGGGCUCCAGACACUAAGUCUUUUCACCGUAAAGAAAAAAGAUGUUUGCUUUUGACAAUAUUGUAGUACUUUAAUAUAUGUCUCCUGAGUUCAACCUCUUUUACGAGAAAGGUAAGGAUGAGAUUUUUUAUAUAUAGAAAUUUUUAACAAAUCAAUAAAUAAUACAGGUUCUUCAAAAUACCAUUUGGAGUUCUUUAUGUACUUGGUAAAAAGCGAGAAGACUGAGAUCACGUGCUUUUCAGAGCAGAGGUCAGCCAACCAGGAAUACCUUGGGCAGUUCUCAGUGUGAUUUCAGUGCUGCCUGAAAGAUGCAUUUUACAGAUUAACUUCUCUUCUAUGCACAGCUCUUCUCGGUCUUCAGAACUUGUACUUCUCUAUUGUUUUUAAUUAUGCAGUGAUUGACAGUUAGUUAAUCUUCUAUUGGGAUUCAGAGCCCAUCUGGACAGGGAGUUCUUUUUUCUUCUUUUUUCUUCUUUUUUCUUCUUUUUUCUUCUUUUUUCUUCUUUUUUCUUCUUUUUUCUUCUUUUUUCUUCUUUUUUCUUCUUUUUUCUUCUUUUUUCUUCUUUUUUCUUCUUUUUUCUUCUUUUUUCUUCUUUUUUCUUCUUUUUUCUUCUUUUUUCUUCUUUUUUCUUCUUUUUUCUUCUUUUUUCUUCUUUUUUCUUCUUUUUUCUUCUUUUUUCUUCUUUUUUCUUCUAUGAAAGUAAAGUUAAAAUGUGUAUUGAAAGGAGUCUUCUUUGGGUAGAAGAGUGUCAGACAGAUCAACUAAAAUUACUUCCAAACUUUUCUUAUGAUUGUAUCUUACUGGUUGCGUUUCUUAUAUAAAUAUGUAUAUUUUUCAAAUAUUAGAGAAACUAUGUAGCAUACAACAAAGUAAUAAAGAUCCUGCAUCUUUUGCAGCUUAUUUAAACUGUCUGAUUGUAUGUAUAAAGAUACAAAAUUUAAAGAUAGUUCAGUGGAUAUGAAACAAGUUGAUACUUACCUUAAUACAAGUGAAAACAUGACAGAAGCGAGAAAAGAUGUGUGGAGAAUAAAUCAUCAUACUCCAAUAACUACAGACUCAGAUUUUACCCUACAUAGGGUAAAUGAUGGGAACAUUGCAUCUAAAAUAGGAUUUCAAAUAAAAUCACUUCCUAGUGCUUCAAGGAUUCUGGAUAAGACAGGUAAUUAUUAUUGCUCUGUUCAAAAAACAAAAAAACAAACAAACAAAAAAAAACACUCCACUGAUCAAGGUAAAGAGUGAAGAACCUUUUUCUGCCAGCUCAAAUUAAGGUAAUUGAUUAAAUAUAGAUAAAUGAUAUUACAGUUUUAAGGAACUUAAAUGUGUUGUUGCUUAAUAUGUGCUGUGUAAACAAUUUAUGAAGAAGAGUUACAUUUUCCAAAGCACUAAGUCUUGGACCUUUUUGAAAGUGUCACUCCAAGUCUGUUCCUGAACAAUUUGAAAAGGAGCAGCCUGGUCCCUCGAUACAGUGGAUAGUCUCAUCUACAUUAAAAAUUGAUUGUUUAUUAGUCAUGUUGCUCACACUUGUAUCUUUCUAGAUUAAAUAGGAAAAAUGGAGGAAAGUGGUGAGAAUUUUGAUUAAGUGAUAGAAUACUUUUUUUAGAAAUUCAGGCAGAAAAGUGUCUGGGGCCUGGCAAACAAAACGAAUGUGAGCCAGCAGCUGCCCCAGCAGUAAUGAAAGCCGAGAGUGUCCUGGUCUAUUCAGCUCUGAUAAAGCUGCACCUCACGAGCUGUGUUCAGUUUGCAUAACUUUUACUACACUUCUCAGAUGUCUAGGUACUGUAUUAAGAGGCAUUUUGGGCCUCUGGUACAAGCAAGACAUUCUGAAACUGGAAUGAGUUCAACAAAGGGCCACCAACAUGGUCCUUUCAAAUAACAAACCUAUGUCCUUCCUGUCCUGUCAGCUCCUUUAUCAUCUCUGCUUUGCUGCAGCCUUGUAGCUCCUCACAGAAUGCACAGCUUAGAGUUCGGAAGAUAUUUUUCAUGGAUAUUGGUUGAGAACAGUGAAAUCUAUUUUUAUAAACUUUACUUUCUUUUAGGAACAACAGGAAGAAAUUUGGAAAUGUUGAGGGCUGUUACAGAAAUACGUAUCCUUUUAUUUGCUGUAUCUGAUUUAUUGAAUUUAUUACCAUGACUCUUACAUUUACAAAAUUAUAGUGGUUAGUUUGUAGCCAUAAGAACUCAUGCAUUAUACUGUAAUAGUUUUGAAUUGUAACGUAAUGCUGGGAGUUGAAUGGGAAUUUAUGCCUGGGACCUCCAAAGCUAGAAUGAAAAUAGAAUAACUUAUAAAUAGAUCAUUCAUCACCAAGCAAACUUAUUCUUAUUUCAAACAUGUACAUUUUAUCCUCAAAAUUACUUAUUUUUAAAAUGUAAAAUUUAAAAUUUUUAGUUUGGUAAGAAUUGACAUAAUUUCCAGAACAAGUAAGAACUCAGUUGUUCUGAUGUUGCCAAUUGCAGAUAAAGCUCCUCGUUUUGAAAAUGGGUCAUUUAUUUAGAGGGAUAAUUUUAGAGAAGCCUUUUUAAAAAAUCCUUGCUCACCUUUACUUUUUUUCUGGUUUUAUUUCAUUAUUUUCUUGUAUUACUCUUUUUUUUUUUUUUUUUUGAGUCAUUUAAAAUGAAUAGAACAACUUUUUAAGGCCUCAGCUGUUCAUUGUUUUUGUGACUGUUGGUGUUACAUCCGACUGUGUUUGCAUCCAUAGACUGAUUGGAUGGUUGCGAUUAGUCUGCUUGUGUGGCUUCCGUGCAAGUCCAGACAAGGAUCAUCUCAUUUGUUUGGAUCGUAAGGAAACAAUGCUCUCUUUACUCUUACUUGUAUUUUAGAUAAAAAUGCUUUUGUCUGGAAAAUAUGGAAAAUACACAAUAUUUGCAGUUGAAAAUACCUUUAAUAGCAC
This 3576-nucleotide long non-coding RNA is filed under the name Anas platyrhynchos (mallard). RNAcentral's name for it is "lncRNA (ENSAPLG00020011135.1)". The record is from RNAcentral. Lineage: Eukaryota; Metazoa; Chordata; Aves; Anseriformes; Anatidae.